UACGUAGGUGACAAGCGUUGUCCGGAUUUACUGGGCGUAAAGAGCGCGCAGGCGGUCGUUCAAGUCGAGUGUGAAAGCCCCCGGCUCAACUGGGGAGGGUCACUCGAUACUGAUCGACUCGAAGGCAGGAGAGGGAAGUGGAAUUCCCGGUGUAGUGGUGAAAUGCGUAGAUAUCUGGAGGAACACCGGUGGCGAAGGCGGCAUCCUGGACCGGCAUUGACGCUGAGGCGCGAAAGCCAGGGGAGCAAACGGG
Molecule: ribosomal RNA, 253 nt
Filed under: uncultured bacterium
Lineage: Bacteria
Description: partial 16S ribosomal RNA
Rfam family: Bacterial small subunit ribosomal RNA
Source: RNAcentral